Molecule: ribosomal RNA, 511 nt
Filed under: uncultured bacterium
Lineage: Bacteria
Description: partial 16S ribosomal RNA
Rfam family: Bacterial small subunit ribosomal RNA
Source: RNAcentral
AUUGAACGCUGGCGGCAUGCCUAACACAUGCAAGUCGAACGGCAGCACAAUAAAGAUUUCGGUCUUAUGGGUGGCGAGUGGCGGACGGGUGAGUAACGCGUAGGAAUCUGUCCUGGAGAGUGGGAUAACCCGAGGAAACUCGGGCUAAUACUGCAUGACAUUGAGAGAUCAAAAGCAGGGGACCGAAAGGCCUUGCGCUCUGGGGUUAGCCUAGGUCGGAUUAGCUAGUUGGUGGGGUAAAGGCCUACCAAGGCGACGAUCCGUAGCUGGUCUGAGAGGAUGACCAGCCACACUGGGACUGAGACACGGCCCAGACUCCUACGGGAGGCAGCAGUGGGGAAUCUUGGACAAUGGGGGAAACCCUGAUCCAGCGAUGCCGCGUGUGUGAAGAAGGCCUUCGGGUUGUAAAGCACUUUAGGUGGGGAAGAAAGGUAGCGAGUGAAUAACUUUCUGCUGUGACGGUACCCACAGAAUAAGCACCGGCUAACUCUGUGCCAGCAGCCGGCCGUAA